Molecule: ribosomal RNA, 1434 nt
Filed under: uncultured bacterium
Lineage: Bacteria
Description: bacterial SSU rRNA
Rfam family: Bacterial small subunit ribosomal RNA
Source: RNAcentral
GACGAACGCUGGCGGCGUGCCUGACCCAUGCAAGUCGAACGAGUUUGCAGCAAUGCAGACGAGUGGCGGACGGGUGAGUAACACGUGAACAAUCUGCCCGGGACAGGGGGAUAACGUCGGGAAACUGACGCUAAUACCGCGUAAGACCACGAAGUCGCAUGGCUUUGAGGUAAAAGGAGCAAUCCGGUCCCGGAGGGGUUCGCGUCCCAUUAGGCAGUUGGCGGGGUAACGGCCCACCAAACCGACGAUGGGUAGCCGAGCUGAGAGGCUGAACGGCCACACUGGAACUGAGAUACGGUCCAGACUCCUACGGGAGGCAGCAGGGAGGAAUAUUGGGCAAUGGGGGAAACCCUGACCCAGCAACGCCGCGUGAAGGAUGAAGGCCUUCGGGUUGUAAACUUCUGUGACAGGGGACGAAAGAAAUGACGGUACCCUGAGAGGAAGCCACGGCAAACUACGUGCCAGCAGCCGCGGUAAUACGUAGGUGGCGAGCGUUGUCCGGAAUCACUGGGCGUAAAGGGCGCGUAGGCGGCGUUUCAAGUCGCAUGUGAAAAACCAGGGCUCAACCCUGGGGGGUCAUGCGAAACUGGAGUGCUUGAGUGCAGUAGAGGGAAGCGGAAUUCCUGGUGUAGCGGUAAAAUGCGUAGAGAUCAGGAGGAACACCGGUGGCGAAGGCGGCUUCCUGGGCUGCAACUGACGCUGAGGCGCGAAAGCGUGGGGAGCAAACAGGAUUAGAUACCCUGGUAGUCCACGCGGUAAACGAUGAUUACUAGGUGUGGGUAUCGCAGGAUAUCCGUGCCGGAGCAAACGCAAUAAGUAAUCCGCCUGGGGAGUACGGCCGCAAGGUUGAAACUCAAAGGAAUUGACGGGGGCCCGCACAAGCAGCGGAGCAUGUUGUUUAAUUCGAAGCAACGCGAAGAACCUUACCAGGGCUUGACAUCCACCGAAUCCGCUGGAAACAGUGGAGUGCCGCAAGGAACGGUGAGACAGGUGGUGCAUGGUUGUCGUCAGCUCGUGUCGUGAGAUGUUGGGUUAAGUCCCGCAACGAGCGCAACCCUUGCCGUCAGUUACCAGCGCGUUAAGGCGGGGACUCUGAUGGGACAGCCGGGGUAACCCGGAGGAAGGUGGGGACGACGUCAAAUCAUCAUGCUCCUUAUGUCCUGGGCUACAAACGUGCUACAAUGGCCGCAACAGAGGGAAGCUAGGGCGCGAGCCGGAGCGAAACCGAGAAAAGCGGUCCCAGUUCAGAUUGAGGGCUGCAACCCGCCCUCAUGAAGAUGGAGUUGCUAGUAAUCGCGAAUCAGCACGUCGCGGUGAAUACGUUCCCGGGCCUUGUACACACCGCCCGUCACACCAUGGGAAUUGGGAGCACCCGAAGCCUGUGAGCCAACCGCAAGGGGGCAGCAGUCGAAGGUGAGACCAGUGACUGGGGUG